This 1805-nucleotide long non-coding RNA is filed under the name Mus pahari (shrew mouse). Its description in RNAcentral is "lncRNA (MGP_PahariEiJ_G0002960.1)". The record is from RNAcentral. Lineage: Eukaryota; Metazoa; Chordata; Mammalia; Rodentia; Muridae.
CCGCCCCGCCGAGCGGCGCUCGGCCCGGGGGCGUGCGGAACGGGCGCCGCCGGCAUGGCGUCCAUGUACAUAACGCUUUGUUUGCACUCGGUCGGCUCCGGUUAGGGAAGGCCUCGCAGGCGCCACCUCCCGCCCUCGUGUCUCAGGUCCCACGACAGUUUCCCGAGCCCUUAGAGGAGCGGGGCGCACCGCCCGGGCGCCGCCACGGCCCCCCGCACGUGCGCGCCGGCCCGCCCGCCGCCUGGGCCACGCUCUCGGGAGGCGGCCGAGCCUCGGCGUCGCGGCCGCCAUCUUGGGAGGUCGCCCUGCCCCGAGGCCUCCCGCCGGGACGUGGCCCUCGCGAGGCCGGAGAGCGUCGUCUUUGCCGGCCCCUCGAGCCGCCGCCAUAGGCAGCCCGGAGGAGGUCGUGUGAAGGAACGUGUUCAGUGCCUGACUGAAAGGGCUAGCGUGGCGUCCCCCACCCACCCCACCCCCGAGCGGGGAGGGCUGGCGGCCAUGUUUCCCAACAAAAUGGCGACACGUGUCGCCAUCGAGAAACUGGGCUGGAGCAAGACAAAUCCAGAGAGAUGAAGUGACUGACCCAAGGUUACACAGAAUGGAAUCUAUAUCUUCUGAUUUCUCUACUGGCCUGCACUCCAAGUUCUGAGGAGCAGUCCUUGAAGCUGCUGAGAUAAUGGAACAAUGGCGUAGAUAGUCCAUUAUAACUCAUCUGUGAUUCUUCUCAAGUUCAAGUGACCACAGAAAAAACAGUUAACAAGUGUCUGGACAACUGGAGGAGACUCGGGCCUCUGAGCCCCAGCAAGGACAAAGCCUGAGACAUUAUCAACACGAAGACGUAUGAGAUGAGACAGAAGUGUCCUGGAGGAGAGAGACCAAAAGAGAGGAGGGGCUUGGGGGCCCAGAAGCCAGUCCUGGGGAUCUGUUUUCCCCUGUCUCCACAGCUGGAUCGGUGGAGAUUACGUGGAGAUGUUUGCAGCGCAUCCAGAGCACAUUUAAUCUAUAUUUAGAAAACAACCAAAAGGAAUUUAAAAGUUGAGCCCGUGACUAAAAUUUUUAGCCCAUGACUAUGAUUAUUUUUUUUAAAAGGUUUAGUAGCCAGUGAUAAUUAUAACUGUUACCAAGGCCUAAUAACUUAUCAGCACUCUAUCAAUAUGUUCAACUUUGAACUCUGAAGUCUUAGCGUCGAGUGUGGUCUAUAAAUCUCAUUUUUCACAUGCCUCAGAACUUUACAACUUAGGUAGGUUCACACACCUUAAAUUAUGUCCUUAGGCCUUUACAAGUUACAUACAUUUUAAACUUCUUUUUAAAUCUGGAAAUAUCUGAUCAUUUCCAUGAGACAGACGAGCUAGAUUACUGGGCGCAGUCACUGGAGGGCAACUUCUUUUAGAUGAAGGGACAGUGACAACCAAAGCUGUGGUCAGCAGCAGCAGCAGCAGAGUAGCUUCAGUUGGCUCUUACACCGAGACCUAUUCCGGUGAGUCCCUCAUUUUAAGCAGGAGGCUGGUCACUCUAGGAAAACCACUCCUGGCUUUCACAGGUGAAACUAAUUCAAGCUGGCAGGUAAGUGAGUUUCAAUCUUAAAACCCUUAUUUUUUUUCAAAAAAAAAAUUUUUUUUUUAAUUAAAAAUAUUUUAUUCAUUUGUUUUUGACAGUAUCAGAGGACAAUUUGCAGAAAUGGGCUCUCUCCUUCUACCAUGUGGGUCCUGGGCUUGGUCACUGGGCUUGGUGGCAGGUACCUUUAUACCAGCUAAGCCACUUCUCUGGCUCCUAAAGCCCUUUUUAUUAAAGAGACUUAGGUAACUAAA